This 503-nucleotide ribosomal RNA is filed under the name uncultured microorganism. RNAcentral's name for it is "bacterial SSU rRNA". It matches the Rfam family "Bacterial small subunit ribosomal RNA", at positions 9 to 521 of the family's 1533-position model. The record is from RNAcentral.
GAGUUUGAUCUUGGCUCAGGAUGAACGCUGGCGGCGUGCCUAACACAUGCAAGUCGAACGGGAACCCUUGGAUUCGUCUGGGGGGGAGAGUGGCAAACGGGUGAGUAACACGUUGGUGACCUGCCCCAAAGAGGGGAAUAACCACUGGAAACGGUGGCUAAUACCCCAUGUGGUCUGUCGGUCGGACGGCAGAUUAAAGCGCCCCAUUAGGGGCUGCGCUUUGGGAGGGGCCUGCGGCCCAUCAGGUAGUUGGUAGGGUAAUGGCCUACCAAGCCGAUGACGGGUAGGGGGCGUGAGAGCGUGAUCCCCCACACUGGCACUGAGACACGGGCCAGACUCCUACGGGAGGCAGCAGUGAGGAAUAUUGCCCAAUGGACGCAAGUCUGAGGCAGCAACGCCGCGUGGGUGAUGAAGGCCUUCGGGUUGUAAAACCUUUUCUGGGGACGAGAAAGGACGGUACCUCAGGAAUAAGUCACGGCUAACUACGUGCCAGCCGCCGCCGU